This 253-nucleotide ribosomal RNA is filed under the name uncultured bacterium. RNAcentral's name for it is "partial 16S ribosomal RNA". It matches the Rfam family "Bacterial small subunit ribosomal RNA", at positions 524 to 776 of the family's 1533-position model. The record is from RNAcentral.
UACGUAGGGGGCUAGCGUUGUCCGGAUUUAUUGGGCGUAAAGAGCGUGUAGGCGGCCAGGCAGGUCUGCUGUGAAAACUCGAGGCUCAACCUCGAGACGUCGGCGGAAACCAUCUGGCUAGAGUCCGGAAGAGGAGAGUGGAAUUCCUGGUGUAGCGGUGAAAUGCGCAGAUAUCAGGAAGAACACCCGUGGCGAAGGCGGCUCUCUGGGACGGUACUGACGCUGAGGCGCGAAAGCUAGGGGAGCAAACGGG